GGUUGAUCCUGCCAGUAGUCAUAUGCUUGUCUCAAAGAUUAAGCCAUGCAUGUCUAAGUAUAAGCUUUUAUACGGUGAAACUGCGAAUGGCUCAUUAAAACAGUUAUAGUUUAUUUGAUGGUCACUCACUACUUGGAUAACCGUGGUAAUUCUAGAGCUAAUACAUGCGUCAAGACCCGACUUUUUGGAAGGGUUGUAUUUAUUAGAUAAAGAACCAAUCCAUGCUUGCAUGGUUUUGUGGUGAUUCAUAAUAACUGAUCGAAUCGCAUGCCUUCGGGCGGCGAUGUAUCAUU
Molecule: ribosomal RNA, 293 nt
Filed under: uncultured eukaryote
Lineage: Eukaryota
Description: partial 18S ribosomal RNA
Rfam family: Eukaryotic small subunit ribosomal RNA
Source: RNAcentral